RNAcentral lists this ribosomal RNA (384 nucleotides) under uncultured bacterium. RNAcentral describes it as "bacterial SSU rRNA". It matches the Rfam family "Bacterial small subunit ribosomal RNA", at positions 32 to 426 of the family's 1533-position model. The record is from RNAcentral.
AAUCAACGCUGGCGGCGUGCCUAACACAUGCAAGUCGCACGAGAAAGGGGAGCAAUCCCUGAGUAAAGUGGCGCACGGGUGAGUAACACGUGAAUCAUCUACCUCCGAGUGGGGAAUAACUGAGAGAAAUCUUAGCUAAUACCGCAUAACACUUACGAGUCAAAGCAGCAAUGCGCUUGGAGAGGAGUUCGCGGCCGAUUAGUUAGUUGGCGGGGUAAGGCCCACCAAGACGAUGAUCGGUAUCCGGCCUGAGAGGGCGCACGGACACACUGGAACUGAAACACGGUCCAGACUCCUACGGGAGGCAGCAGUGGGGAAUUUUGCGCAAUGGGGGAAACCCUGGACGCAGCAACGCCGCGUGGAGGAUGAAGUAUCUUGGUACGU